Molecule: ribosomal RNA, 253 nt
Filed under: uncultured bacterium
Lineage: Bacteria
Description: partial 16S ribosomal RNA
Rfam family: Bacterial small subunit ribosomal RNA
Source: RNAcentral
UACAGAGGGUGCGAGCGUUAAUCGGAAUUACUGGGCGUAAAGCGCGCGUAGGCGGCUUUGCAAGUCGGGUGUGAAAUCCCCAGGCUUAACCUGGGAACUGCAUGCGAGACUGCAUUGCUAGAGUAUGGGAGAGGGAAGUGGAAUUUCCGGUGUAGCGGUGAAAUGCGUAGAUAUCGGAAGGAACAUCAGUGGCGAAAGCGACUUCCUGGACCAAUACUGACGCUCAUGUGCGAAAGCGUGGGGAGCAAACAGG